This is a long non-coding RNA of Gasterosteus aculeatus aculeatus (three-spined stickleback), 2053 nucleotides long. The record is from Ensembl. NCBI's taxonomy places the organism in Eukaryota, Metazoa, Chordata, Actinopteri, Perciformes, Gasterosteidae.
GUGCUUACACAGCAAAUUGAGCAGAGUUAAAUUUCUGGUGUUGAUAAAGAUAGAGUCAAUCGAACUCUAUUUGGAAUUGAUCUAAAUCUGUAUGUUGUUAAAUCUGUUUGAUUUCACACUGCACCACAAAAGAGUUGGUGUCAAAAUGGAGUGUUAUUACUGUUAUUGUGAAACCAACUCUAUGGGUCGUCAGUCUCUCAGCUCGGGUGUAAGGAGUGACUACCCUCUGGCAUCGCGCGAACAAUAAUCUCGUGAGAGCAACAAUCUGGCGGGAUUCAAGUAAUUUACCUGCACAACUCAACUGGAACGCAACGAGCAGCACAACGUUUUCGAGGACAGUUUGUUCAAAAUUGAAGAAAACGUGUUGCAUUGUGUCGGAAAUGUUGGCUAAAGUGGAGAUUGGAGGGGUCCUAAAAUACGUGAAAAUUCCAGAGACUGAUGGAUUUUUUCAAUUUGAUAUGUUCCUUCAAGAAGAUCUGGAUGUUGAGCUGGUUGCAGAUCAAGCAUCCUCCUCUGUAUUGACAUCGCUGUCCCCAACUUCAUCCCAUUCAUCCUUGGUAGUGGCACAGACUGCACUAUCCCCAGCUUUAUCCCAUUCAUCUGAUUCCACCGUUAUUCUGGAGUCCACAAGAAAAAGGAGGAACCCAACAGGGUUAAUGGACCAGAAUGAAGCAAAACAGAUGGUUGAGGGUGUUCUGAGGGCCAAUCCAAAGGGUGAAGAAGUCUUCAAUGAGUAUGACAAGACUAAAACACUAACUGAUGCGACCCGUAAACAAAUGGUGAACAUCCUGGUUGCAGAUAUGGUAGAGCUACAUGGGAGGGUUCCACCGUCAAGUGUAAGGACCAAUUAUGCACUGGGAAUUGUGACUCUUUUUCCAUACCUCCGUGAUCCAUUCUCCAAACUUGGAUAUGUAAGUUAUAUCUGAAAACCAAAUCAGUGUGAUUUCAAUAUCUUCUUCACUUUUCUAGUUUGUACUCAUCUUGUUUCAGAUGAGUUUUUGUAGGUUGCUCACCCUUGCAUUUUCAACCUGUUUUUUAAAAUGUUUUGCAGUCUAUUCACUGUCUACAAUUUUUGUGUUGAGUAACUUAUUCUUAAAUUGAAGCAUGAGAUGCCUCUGUUUGGGUCUUUCUUUAAAAAGGAACACUACUAUGAUCCUGAGGGUAAUACCGGCUUCAUUUCAUGGAGGAUCAAGACGGUUCAACGCAACACCUUUGCUGGCUUGCGGGGUCGUUCCAAGACCGUUCUUCAGGAUGGUCCAAAAACCAGGCGAGAAUCUCUGUCAACCUGCCAACAGCUAUUUGGUGAGGAGUGCAGGGAGGCGAUAUCUACAAUAAGACAUUCCAGCGAUGAAUCUGUGGUCAAAGAGAAGAUGAGAGCGACUUUCCAGUAUCGACAGAAGAUGGUUGGGGAUGAUGCAUCAUCUUCAGUCCUGGAUGUGUUCCCUCGUUUUCUUGAUGUACCUGGAUUGGUAAGAAAACUCUUUUGCUUUGGUUGUAGUUGUCCAGUGUAGAACAGUAAUAUAGUCCAGUGCAGGACAAUAUAAUAUCUGUCUGCACUAUACUAUAAUCUCUUUAAUCUUCUUUUCAAUCUUCCAUUUCAGUAUUUGACCUUUCAUUCAUUUUGUCAUGUAUGCUUGAACCUGUAUAUUAAAAUAUUGUUUUCCUUGUUUGUAGAUCGACCAGGAUUUCUCAAUGAUGUUUGGUGACGAAGUGUCUCAGAAGUUCCUGUCCAAGUGGUCAACUUUCUUCAAGCCAAACAUCAUCACAGACUGCAAGACUGCAACGAAUAUGGAUGAGUUGCUGUCAGCAACUGAAUUUGAGUCUGAAGAGAACAAUGGAUGGGACAGUGAUAUGUCUUCAAUCCUUUUGCUGCUGCAGCUACUCCCUCCAACUUCAAGGGGCCAGAAAAAAACUGCCAAGAUCAGUUCAGCUCAAGCAACCAGCCAUCUUGUUAGAUAUCUUAAGGAAGGAGCCAGUAUUACUACCUUCCUUGAGAGUGUCGACGCAAGACAACCGUUCCUCCUUUGCAUCGGUGAGCAAAAGAAGAAUAUCC